GAUGAACGCUGGCGGCGUGCCUAAUACAUGCCAGUCGAGCGAACAGACGAGGAGCUUGCUCCUCUGACGUUAGCGGCGGACGGGUGAGUAACACGUGGAUAACCUACCUAUAAGACUGGGAUAACUUCGGGAAACCGGAGCUAAUACCGGAUAAUAUAUUGAACCGCAUGGUUCAAUAGUGAAAGACGGUCUUGCUGUCACUUAUAGAUGGAUCCGCGCCGCAUUAGCUAGUUGGUAAGGUAACGGCUUACCAAGGCGACGAUGCGUAGCCGACCUGAGAGGGUGAUCGGCCACACUGGAACUGAGACACGGUCCAGACUCCUACGGGAGGCAGCAGUAGGGAAUCUUCCGCAAUGGGCGAAAGCCUGACGGAGCAACGCCGCGUGAGUGAUGAAGGUCUUCGGAUCGUAAAACUCUGUUAUUAGGGAAGAACAAAUGUGUAAGUAACUAUGCACGUCUUGACGGUACCUAAUCAGAAAGCCACGGCUAACUACGUG
RNAcentral lists this ribosomal RNA (497 nucleotides) under uncultured bacterium. RNAcentral describes it as "partial 16S ribosomal RNA". It matches the Rfam family "Bacterial small subunit ribosomal RNA", at positions 28 to 507 of the family's 1533-position model. The record is from RNAcentral.